UGGACGAUGGUGUAAUUGGCAACACAGCAGAUUUUGGUUCUGUUAUUCCUGGUUCGAGUCCAGGUCGUCCAG
RNAcentral lists this transfer RNA (72 nucleotides) under Planctomycetota bacterium. Its description in RNAcentral is "Planctomycetes bacterium (mine drainage metagenome) tRNA-Gln". It matches the Rfam family "tRNA". From Rfam's summary of the family: Transfer RNA (tRNA) molecules are approximately 80 nucleotides in length. Their secondary structure includes four short double-helical elements and three loops (D, anti-codon, and T loops). Lineage: Bacteria; Pseudomonadati; Planctomycetota. The record is from RNAcentral.